Molecule: ribosomal RNA, 272 nt
Filed under: uncultured soil bacterium
Lineage: Bacteria
Description: partial 16S ribosomal RNA
Rfam family: Bacterial small subunit ribosomal RNA
Source: RNAcentral
AGAAUCAACGCUGGCGGCGUGCCUCAGACAUGCAAGUCGAACGCGAAAGGCUCCUUCGGGGGCCGAGUAGAGUGGCGCACGGGUGAGUAACACGUAGGUAAUUUGCCUUUGGGUGGGGAAUAACUCAGGGAAACUUGAGCUAAUACCGCAUAAUGCAGCGGCUCGACAUCGAGACAGUUGUUAAAGCGGGGGAUCGCAAGACCUCGCGCCUGAAGAGAAGCCUGCGGCAGAUUAGCUAGUUGGUAGGUAAUGGCCUACCAAGGCGACGAUCU